RNAcentral lists this non-coding RNA (23 nucleotides) under Cricetulus griseus (Chinese hamster). Lineage: Eukaryota; Metazoa; Chordata; Mammalia; Rodentia; Cricetidae. The record is from RNAcentral.
GUUACUAUCUGAAAGAAGCCAAG